This 110-nucleotide transfer RNA is filed under the name Thermoleophilia bacterium. RNAcentral describes it as "tRNA-OTHER". The record is from RNAcentral. Lineage: Bacteria; Bacillati; Actinomycetota; Thermoleophilia.
GGGACCAUCAGUUGAGCAGUCAAUACCGUGGUCUUGCGGAAAUCCUACGCGGCCUGAGCCGCACCACGCGGGACGCCGCGUUCCAGGUUCGAUUCCUGGGUGGCCCACCA